Molecule: ribosomal RNA, 438 nt
Filed under: uncultured bacterium
Lineage: Bacteria
Description: partial 16S ribosomal RNA
Rfam family: Bacterial small subunit ribosomal RNA
Source: RNAcentral
CUACGGGGUGCACCAGUGGGGAAUAUUGCACAAUGGAGGAGACUCUGAUGCAGCAACGCCGCGUGGAGGAUGACACUUUUCGGAGCGUAAACUCCUUUUAUAUAGGAAGAAGAUGACGGUACUAUAUGAAUAAGCGCCGGCUAACUCCGUGCCAGCAGCCGCGGUAAUACGGAGGGCGCAAGCGUUACUCGGAAUCACUGGGCGUAAAGAGCGUGUAGGCGGAUUAAAAAGUCAGAAGUGAAAUCCUAUAGCUUAACUAUAGAACUGCUUCUGAAACUCUUAAUCUAGAAUAUGGGAGAGGUAGAUGGAUUUCUGGUGUAGGGGUAAAAUCCGUAGAGAUCAGAAGGAAUACCGAUUGCGAAGGCGAACUACUAGAACAUUAUUGACGCUGAGACGCGAAAGCGUGGGGAGCAAACAGGAUUAGAUACCCCGGUAGUC